Molecule: ribosomal RNA, 407 nt
Filed under: uncultured bacterium
Lineage: Bacteria
Description: partial 16S ribosomal RNA
Rfam family: Bacterial small subunit ribosomal RNA
Source: RNAcentral
AUUGAACGCUGGCGGCAGGCCUAACACAUGCAAGUCGAGCGGAGCGGCGGACGGGUGAGUAAUGCCUAGGAAUCUGCCUGGUCGUGGGGGAUAACGUCCGGAAACGGGCGCUAAUACCGCAUACUAUCAGAUGAGCCUAGGUCGGAUUAGCUAGUUGGUGGGGUAAAGGCCUACCAAGGCGGCGAUCCGUAAGUGGUCUGAGUGGAUGGUCAGUCACACGGGAACUGAGACACGCACCAGGCUCCUACGUGAGGCAGCAGUGGGGAAUAGUGGACAAUGGGCGAAAGCAUGAUACAGCCAGGCAGCGUGUGUGAAUGAGGUCUUCGGAUUGUAAAGCCCUAUAAGUUGGGAGGCGUUACCGACAGAAUAAGCACCGGCUAACUUCGUGCCAGCAGCCGCGGUAAUUC